UGAGAUGUGGUGUAAUUGGUAACACACGUGACUUUGACUCACGCGAGUGCUGGUUCGAUCCCAGCCGUCUCAA
This 73-nucleotide transfer RNA is filed under the name Nanosynbacter sp. RNAcentral describes it as "Candidatus Nanosynbacter sp. tRNA-Gln". It matches the Rfam family "tRNA". From Rfam's summary of the family: Transfer RNA (tRNA) molecules are approximately 80 nucleotides in length. Their secondary structure includes four short double-helical elements and three loops (D, anti-codon, and T loops). Lineage: Bacteria; Bacillati; Minisyncoccota; Nanosynbacteria; Nanosynbacterales; Nanosynbacteraceae. The record is from RNAcentral.